UACGAAGGGGGCUAGCGUUGUUCGGAAUUACUGGGCGUAAAGCGCACGUAGGCGGAUAUUUAAGUCAGGGGUGAAAUCCCAGAGCUCAACUCUGGAACUGCCUUUGAUACUGGGUAUCUUGAGUAUGGAAGAGGUAAGUGGAAUUGCGAGUGUAGAGGUGAAAUUCGUAGAUAUUCGCAAGGAACACCAGUGGCGAAGGCGGCUUACUGGUCCAUAACUGACGCUG
Molecule: ribosomal RNA, 226 nt
Filed under: uncultured bacterium
Lineage: Bacteria
Description: partial 16S ribosomal RNA
Rfam family: Bacterial small subunit ribosomal RNA
Source: RNAcentral